Molecule: non-coding RNA, 73 nt
Organism: Danionella cerebrum
Lineage: Eukaryota; Metazoa; Chordata; Actinopteri; Cypriniformes; Danionidae
Source: the annotation of a GenBank genome assembly
GGCACUGUGGUGUAGUGGGUAGCACUGUGGCCUUCCAGUUAGAAGGUUGUUGGUUCGAGACUCGCCGGUGACC